GCCGGUUACCAUAUCACGUUGAAAACGCCGGUCCUUGUCCGUCCACCACAGUUAAGCAUCAUUGAGCCCGGUCAGUACUUGCAUGGGUAACUGGUU
This 96-nucleotide ribosomal RNA is filed under the name Schistosoma margrebowiei. The record is from RNAcentral. Lineage: Eukaryota; Metazoa; Platyhelminthes; Trematoda; Strigeidida; Schistosomatidae.